CCUUUUUACAAAGGGGGAAAGUGAAACUAAAAGAGAGCAAGUCAUUCGACCCAGAUCAAACAGCCUGAAGCUAAUGGAUGUGGCAUACAGGUCUGCUCCUUGCCGGCGAGGAAGCUCGAAAACCCCGAAAUUAUCCUCAGGACUUUGCAUGUGGGCAUCCUUAUCAUUCAUGUUGUUCCUGGGGCUGGAGGGUGGGGAAGGCCUUGGUAAGAUUCCAAGGCUCUUACUGGAUUCCCGAAGACUUUCAGCACCGUGAUCUAAACCAGCACCAUCAGAAGCCAGACGCCUUGCUUGACUGUUGCCUAUCAUAAGUCAUCUACCUAAUGGAAGCUCGAAGUAGAUGUUUCAUUUCCUCUUCCGCGGACAGACAUAUUGAACUGGGUCUUUUAAUCUAAAAACACAGCAACAUUAUCCUAAUUUAUGGAAAAUAUGUCAGAAAGCCUGAACAAUAUUAACUGUGGAAAAUCGGUACCUUCCUCCACACUUGGAUGGCUCCUCUUCAAGGUCGUCUUUUGUGCUGAAGCUGUGGAGAAGGCACUUUUCUAUCUUGCUCAGAAAUCGCAGCUCCUUGGCACUCAAGAAUGUCAUCGACAAUGACAUGAAACAAGAUGAGACCGCCUGUGGCUGAGAGACAGAUGGACAGGAAUGUGCCCAAGGACACACAGCUAUGAAAGGCGCGGCCAGGGUCUGGCUCCUGGCCCCUUGCCUCUAAAGGCAUGCCACGGAGGCAAGACUAGCUCAGGGAUAUGUUUCCCAGCAUCUCUGAAAGGCUCCCUGAGGAGGCAGGUCCCAGUGGGAGCCACAGUGACCAGCUCGUCCCAGCUUCAUUUGAUCAUCGGAGGUUGUGAAUUCCUUUCACCAAAGGCAGCCGUGAUCCCUGUGCCUGUCUGUAAAUUUCUUCCAUCGAAUAUGGCUCAGGCAGUGUCUCUCUAGGAAUGUGAAUAGGAUAGGGCCAGACCCACAUGCCAAACAGGCAGCCAGGGGGACGAAGGCCAUCUCCAGGGUAACUGAAAUCCAUGCUCUCAAGCGAGAGACUCUAAUGCCCUCUUGGAUUCUGCCCAGGAACACUGAGGUGAAAACACCGACGCACACAAGAGGGUUUCCGAGUCUGGAAGGCGGACAGGCCCAGUCUGCUUAUCGCUCCAUGGGGGACAGCACGCCUUGGGGGUCCCCUGGAGCCUCCAGGCAGUGUCCCCUCCCACUGGAGCCCAGCAUUUCCACCCCUGGAGGGAAAGUCUUCUGGGGCCAUCGUGGGAGACCAGGAAGGCUGUGCGGUUCAGGGACUGAGAGGCAGGGGCGGGAGGCCUUGUCUUCCCUCCAUUUCCUGCCCUGCUGGAGACAUUCUGAGUGUGUGGGGAGCAAUGCUGGUGGCGGGUGGCAUCUGCAUUUUUGACAAGUCUUUGCUGGUGAUUUUGAUGUGGGAUAUCUGUGGGCCAUAUUUUGAAAACUGCUGCUUUCCCUGCCAACACAGUUUUCAUUGGAUUCUCCUCUGGCCAGAGGGACAAUUCUUGGAGCCACUGGGGUCUCUAGAAAACAAAUCUGUGCUGAAGUCAGUAGGAGUCUUGGGACACCUGGGUGGCUCAGUCAGUUGGGCAUCUGCCUUCGGCUCGGUCAUGAUCUCAGGGUCCUGGGAUCGAGCCCCACAUUGGGCUCCCUGCUCAGCAGGGAGACCGCUUCUCCCUCUCCCCAUGUGCUUGUGCUCUCUCUCUCAAAUAAAUACAAUCUUAAAAAAAAAAAAA
Mustela lutreola (European mink) is the source of this 1739-nucleotide long non-coding RNA. RefSeq lists it as uncharacterized. NCBI's taxonomy places the organism in Eukaryota, Metazoa, Chordata, Mammalia, Carnivora, Mustelidae. The transcript has 3 exons. The record is from RefSeq and is a predicted model, not a curated record.